RNAcentral lists this long non-coding RNA (1158 nucleotides) under Calidris pugnax (ruff). RNAcentral's name for it is "lncRNA (ENSCPUG00000005954.1)". The record is from RNAcentral. Lineage: Eukaryota; Metazoa; Chordata; Aves; Charadriiformes; Scolopacidae.
GUUCAGCCUGGAGAAGGCUCGGGGGAGACCUUAUAGCAUCUAUAUAGACGUAUAGAUGGGGACAGACACUUUAUCAGGGAAUGUAGUGACAGGAUGAGGGGUGAUGGUUUUAAAUUGGAAGAGGAGGGAUUUAGAUUAGAUACUAGAGAGAAAUUCUUGGACGUGGAGUUGUUGGAAUGGGUCCAGCGGAGGGCCACAAAAAUAAUUAGAGAGCUGGAGCACCUCUGCUAUGAAGACAGACUGAAAGAGUUGGGGUUGUUCAGCCUGGAGAAGGCUCGGGGGAGACCUUAUAGCAUCUAUAUAGACGUAUAGAUGGGGACAGACACUUUAUCAGGGAAUGUAGUGACAGGAUGAGGGGUGAUGGUUUUAAAUUGGAAGAGGAGGGAUUUAGAUUAGAUACUAGAGAGAAAUUCUUUACUUUACAGUGAGUGUGGUGAGACACUGGAACAGGUUGCCCAGAGAAGUUGUGGAUACGCCAUCCCUGGAACUGUUCAAGACGAGGCUGGAUGGGGCUUUGAGCAACCUUGGUCUAGUGGGGGGUGUCCCUUCCCAUUGGAGGGGGGUUGGAACUCAAUGAUCUUUAAGGUCUCUUCCAACUCUGACUGUUCUGUGAGCCUAUGAAUAAUGCUUUAUUGAAGCAGAAGAGGGAUAUAAAAAUUUACAAGUUCAGAUGCAUCUUUUUGUAUUCCAGCAGGUCAUUUCAGAUGUCAGUAGUCCCCAGGAAGAUCAAAAGGCAGAAGAAACAGAGGAAGGAAAGGCUGAACAGAAUACCAUGGCGGAGGUUGUUGCUAGCAAUAUUUCUCAGUCAUUCUCUUUAGAACAAGAUGCAGAAGUUCCCAGUAAUGAAGAGAUUUCUUUAAGUGAUGGUCAGCCUUCUCAGACCAUCGUGUCAACUAUGUCAAGUGUUGCCUCCGAUGCUUCCAUUUGUGCAAAGAAACAAGAAGUCAAGGAAGAAGUCCCUAUAGAGGAGAAACUAAACCCAUCAGAAACUGUUAGGCAGAUGCUCCAAGAUGAAAUGUUUAAGCUAGUUCAGGUGAGAGCAUCUCAUUAUUGACAACAGUAUUUACAAUACAAACUGUAUUAUUGAAAACAAUGGAGAUAAUUACUGUUUUAAAGGUAUUCUAUGUGUGGUUGUUUUUGAGAGAUUUCCAGUUCCAC